Molecule: ribosomal RNA, 120 nt
Filed under: Pyrenochaeta sp. DS3sAY3a
Lineage: Eukaryota; Fungi; Ascomycota; Dothideomycetes; Pleosporales; Cucurbitariaceae
Source: RNAcentral
ACAUACGACCAUUGGUAAAGGAGUACUCUGGAUCCCGUUCGCUCUCCACACGAUAAGCCUUUGGCCGGCGGGUUAGUAGUCAAUUGGGUGACCCUUGGCGAAUCCCCGCUGUUGUAUGUU